UAGGGAAUCUUCCGCAAUGGACGAAAGUCUGACGGAGCAACGCCGCGUGAACGAUGAAGGCCUUCGGGUCGUAAAGUUCUGUUGUUAGGGAAGAACAAGUAUCGGAGUAACUGCCGGUACCUUGACGGUACCUAACCAGAAAGCCACGGCUAACUACGUGCCAGCAGCCGCGGUAAUACGUAGGUGGCAAGCGUUGUCCGGAAUUAUUGGGCGUAAAGCGCGCGCAGGCGGUUCCUUAAGUCUGAUGUGAAAGCCCCCGGCUCAACCGGGGAGGGUCAUUGGAAACUGGGGAACUUGAGUACUGAAGAGGAAAGCGGAAUUCCACGUGUAGCGGUGAAAUGCGUAGAGAUGUGGAGGAACACCAGUGGCGAAGGCGGCUUUCUGGUCAGUAACUGACGCUGAGGCGCGAAAGCGUGGGGAGCAAACAGGAUUAGAUACCCUGGUAGUCCACGCCGUAAACGAUGAGUGCUAAGUGUUAGAGGGUUUCCGCCUUUAGUGCUGCAGCAAACGCAUUAAG
RNAcentral lists this ribosomal RNA (517 nucleotides) under uncultured Bacillota bacterium. RNAcentral's name for it is "bacterial SSU rRNA". It matches the Rfam family "Bacterial small subunit ribosomal RNA", at positions 355 to 864 of the family's 1533-position model. The record is from RNAcentral. Lineage: Bacteria; Bacillati; Bacillota.